GCAGUAUCCUAACUGUGCUAAGGUAGCAUAAUCAUUAGUCUUUUAAUUGAGGACUGGUAUGAAUGGCUUAACGAGAGAUUGACUUUUUUUAUUAUACAAAUUUAAUUUAAUUUUUUAGUGAAAAAGCUAAAAUUUUUCAGAAAGACGAGAAGACCCUAUAGAGUUUUAUGUUUAUUUAUAUUUUUAAUUAUUAGAUUUACUUUAAAGAAUUAGUAUAAUCAAACAUUUUGUUGGGGCGACAUUAAGAUAAAAAAAACUCUUAUUUUUAAAAAUUUUUUUAGAAAUAUAAAUUGAUCCUUUAAAAAAGAUUAUAAGAAAAAAUUACCUUAGGGAUAACAGCGUAAUCUUUUUUGAGAGUUCUAAUCGACAAAAAGGUUUGCGACCUCGAUGUUGGACUAAAAUUUAGACAAGGUGCAGCCGUUUUGUUUUAAGG
Molecule: ribosomal RNA, 433 nt
Filed under: Trevathana sp. 2 MM-2014
Lineage: Eukaryota; Metazoa; Arthropoda; Thecostraca; Balanomorpha; Pyrgomatidae
Description: partial 16S ribosomal RNA
Rfam family: Bacterial large subunit ribosomal RNA
Source: RNAcentral